This 5843-nucleotide long non-coding RNA is filed under the name Brassica napus (rape). RNAcentral's name for it is "long non-coding RNA (BNAP_LNC025311)". Lineage: Eukaryota; Viridiplantae; Streptophyta; Magnoliopsida; Brassicales; Brassicaceae. The record is from RNAcentral.
CGAACCGGAACCGAAUCCAAAAUUCUUUAGCGGAGCAAGAGUCUCUAUUGGGCUGGGCCUACUAAUCAAUUUGAAAGUCUCUAGCUGAGCAAGAGUCUUCCACAUACCAUUGACAAAAGCAAACUUUUUACACACGUAAGUCGUAAUAACCAUUACAGAAAUGUCACACACUAGUGGAAGAGUACAAGAUACUUUGUUAUUUUAAUAUUUGGUAUUAGAAAAAGUGGAAAACUAUAAAAUGUUGAAGAUGAAUAUCUAUAGUUUUACUGUUUAGGUACUAAGUGAUUGGUAACCAUCUUCCCGGUUCUUUCUCCGGUAUACCACGGCGACUAUUAGAACCACAACCGCCACCGUCACUGCAAGAAAGGCUAAAAAGCUCAUACUGCUCGAAUGUGCCUGCAAAGAAAUAAUGAAUACUGACGUUAAGUAAAGUAACACACAUGGUAAUAACCGGUUUGACCUAAACCGAGAUCUGUUACCGGCAGUUUCGGUCCAGGCAGCUGCUGAGAAACGAGGAUGUAAAAGAGUCCCAUGACUCCUGUAUGACCAAUGACAUUACUGUAAUUGAACUCCAAAGACAGUGUCUCUCCAUUAGUCACUUUCACCGGUUCAGGAUAACAAGACGACAUUCCAACGAUGUAACCAGCUUCGCUUCCAGGCUCAUCUCCAUUGCCAUACUUCGGCAUCGAGGAGCAUAUUACCUCACCGUCCUGAUCAAAAUCCAUAACACAAGAGUCUCAGUUUUUGAGUAAAAAGUUUUUGCCUUAGCUUAAAACCUUAGGUUGGGUGUUUAUACCCAAACCCGAAAUCCGAACUGAGACCAAACCAAAAUUCUAUCUAAACCAUCAUAAAAAAUAUCCAAAUAGAGUCUAAGAAUACUUUCGGACUCGGGUACAAUCCAAACCAAACUAAAAUCCGUACUAGAAUCCAAAAAAUCCACAUUAGUUAAUCUGUUAAUGUUUUUUUCUACAUAUGUUACGUUAAGAUAGUUUAGAAAUUUUUAAAAAAAUUAGAAUUUUUUGUAGUUUUUAUAGGAAUUGCGAAUCGUUAUUUUGGAAUACUUUUAAUUAGUUUAGGUAGCUUGACAAGUUUUUAAUCAGAUUUUUGAUUUUUUUAUAUAUUUUAAAUAUGUUUUUGUCAAUUUCAUUAAUUUUAUUUCCAGAUUUAAGUACGAUUUUUAGACAAUGGUUAUAAUUUGAUUUGAACCAAACUCAUACCAAAUCGAAUCAAACCCGAUCCAAAAACUAGUAAAAUAUGAAUAAGACCAUUGUGCAUGAUACCGAAAAUCCAAAACAAACCCCGAACAAGACACCAAACGUCCGGGCCUGUUAAAAACUAACCUCUCGGUACAGAGCUGCACCGAUACCACCUGCGUGCUGGUGAGCUACUCCAUAGACAAUAUACCCGUUAAACGGCAUCAAUGGUUAUAAUUUGAUUUGAAUCAAACACAUACGAAAUCGAAUCAAACCCGAUCCAAAAACUAGUAAAAUAUGAAUAAGACCAUUGUGCAUGAUACCGAAAAUCCAAAACAAACCCCUAACAAGACACCAAACGUCCGGGCCUGUUAAAAACUAACCUCUCGGUACAGAGCUGCACCGAUACCACCUGCGUGCUGGUGAGCUACUCCAUAGACAAUAUACCCGUUAAACGGCAUCAUUAAGCUCUUUUUCUUAACAUCGACACACCCAUCACCCUUAGUUUUGCACGGUUUCACGUCAUAUUCCACCUGAAAAGAAAACAAUUAAUACACCUUAGCUAACGUUAAAAGCAUUAAUAAGCAGAGAUGUGAAAAGUCUUUACUGACAUGACAAAAAUGUUCUUGGUUAUCUCCUGUUGAUCCUUCUGACCGUUCCCAAGAAUCCGUUACAUCGAGAAUAUAAACCUUAGCCGGCAACAAAACCGAGCUGUCCCAAUCAACCCAUCUCACAGUAUACUUAAGAUACACAGUUCUUGUUUUGUUUCCACUUUCGAAUCCGUUUCUUAACCGACAUUGAGUCUUAUCGUAGCAGCAGUCUUGACCUCCUUUGUAUCCAGGUUCUAAAGCUCGACCGUACUCAUCAACCGUUACAUUAUAAAGACCACACCGACACUCGGUGCAUCCUUGUUUAUCCACAACCCCUCUAGUGUCAAUAGCGUGAAUAUUUAGAAGCCAUUUGAACUCAUACCCAUCAGGUACUUUCUCCGGGUUACCGAUCUCGAUCGCGUAAGGAUCAGGAACAUACGUCGAAGUCUUGCGUGUUUCUGAUCCUAACCCAAAGUAUUGUCUAACUCUGUUCCUACACAACCCUCCGUUACUAACGAGAAUAUAAUCAGGGCUCGAACCAAGGUUCCUAGGCGUGUCUAGGUGCGAAAGGUUGAGACCUUUACGCACGUAGUAAGGGUGCACAACCCAGUGGUGGAGAUAUGUCUCGUGUAACGGGACGGGGUUACCGUCUUGGUCGACUACUUCGGCGUCGAAACCUUUGAGGCCGAUGUGGCCUCUAGGGAAAUCGAUGUCGAACAGGUAAGGGUCUGCGACUGAUCCUGGAGUCAUGACUUGUUUUGGUGAUAGGAAACUUGCGGACUUGAUGUUAAUGCUGUGGCUAGGCGAUAUGCUUAACGCGACCAGAAGAAGAAGUAAGGACGAGAUGAUCAGGUAACAACGAGCCAUUUUGUCCUGUUUCGAUAUCGUUAUAGAGAGGUAAUAAAUGAAGUAAAACUGAUAAAAUACGUAAUCAUGAACCGGUUUGACCUAAACCGAGAUCUGUUACCGGCAGUUUACCUGCAAGAAGCUCUCCGGUCCAGGCAGCUGCUGAGAAACGAGGAUGUAAAAGAGUCCCAUGACUCCUGUAUGACCAAUGACAUUACUGUAAUUGAACUCCAAAGACAGUGUCUCUCCAUUAGUCACUUUCACCGGUUCAGGAUAACAAGACGACAUUCCAACGAUGUAACCAGCUUCGCUUCCAGGCUCAUCUCCAUUGCCAUACUUCGGCAUCGAGGAGCAUAUUACCUCACCGUCCUGAUCAAAAUCCAUAACACAAGAGUCUCAGUUUUUGAGUAAAAAGUUUUUGCCUUAGCUUAAAACCUUAGGUUGGGUGUUUAUACCCAAACCCGAAAUCCGAACUGAGACCAAACCAAAAUUCUAUCUAAACCAUCAUAAAAAAUAUCCAAAUAGAGUCUAAGAAUACUUUCGGACUCGGGUACAAUCCAAACCAAACUAAAAUCCGUACUAGAAUCCAAAAAAUCCACAUUAGUUAAUCUGUUAAUGUUUUUUUCUACAUAUGUUACGUUAAGAUAGUUUAGAAAUUUUUAAAAAAAUUAGAAUUUUUUGUAGUUUUUAUAGGAAUUGCGAAUCGUUAUUUUGGAAUACUUUUAAUUAGUUUAGGUAGCUUGACAAGUUUUUAAUCAGAUUUUUGAUUUUUUUGUAUAUUUUAAAUAUGUUUUUGUCAAUUUCAUUAAUUUUAUUUCCAGAUUUAAGUACGAUUUUUAGACAAUGGUUAUAAUUUGAUUUGAAUCAAACACAUACGAAAUCGAAUCAAACCCGAUCCAAAAACUAGUAAAAUAUGAAUAAGACCAUUGUGCAUGAUACCGAAAAUCCAAAACAAACCCCUAACAAGACACCAAACGUCCGGGCCUGUUAAAAACUAACCUCUCGGUACAGAGCUGCACCGAUACCACCUGCGUGCUGGUGAGCUACUCCAUAGACAAUAUACCCGUUAAACGGCAUCAUUAAGCUCUUUUUCUUAACAUCAACACACCCAUCACCCUUAGUUUUGCACGGUUUCACGUCAUAUUCCACCUGAAAAGAAAGCAAUUAAUACACCUUAGCUAACGUUUUUAAGUAAUAAAAGCAUUAAUAAGCAGAGAUGUGAAAAGUCUUUACUGACAUGACAAAAAUGUUCUUGGUUAUCUCCUGUUGAUCCUUCUGACCGUUCCCAAGAAUCCGUUACAUCGAGAAUAUAAACCUUAGCCGGCAACAAAACCGAGCUGUCCCAAUCAACCCAUCUCACAGUAUACUUAAGAUACACAGUUCUUGUUUUGUUUCCACUUUCGAAUCCGUUUCUUAACCGACAUUGAGUACUAUUAUAAGCUUUAGUUUGUUAACACUAUUAUACAAGAUUUGUAACAAACUUUAAGAUCAUUAAUGAAUAAAUCAACAUUCUUCUUUGAAUCAAGAACACUUCAAUAACUCCACUCUAAAUCAUCAUAAUCCAAUCAGAUCAGAACCAUAUACUAACCACAAACGCGUUUCAGAGAGUUUAGCGAUAUACAAUACCUUCGUAAUCACCAUUCUUCGAAACGAUCCAGCGACCAUCAAACGCCUCAUCGAACGAUUCAUACAACACCUGAACACAAAUCCAACGAGCUCAGAUCUAAAAAAUCUUCAGAUCUACGAUAACAUUCGGAAACAUUUUCCCGAGAAAAAUCGAAAUCUACCGUAUUAUCGUCGCAGUGGCAAAGGUUCUGGAGCGAGAGGAGAGCUAGGAUAAGCAUAAGGCCGGAGAAUAGCUGCCGGUCUCUCAUCAUCGGAACGGUUCGAGUAGAUCGGAGGGAGAAGAGAGAGAGAGAGAGAGAGAGUGGAAUCUAUUUUUUUUUUUUCCUGAAGAUUUUAGUUUCUCUGAGUGAUUUAUAUAUUUAAAUCCCGUAGACUCGGUCGAGUGUGUCGAUUUUUGUUGUUUCCACCAAUGAGAUCGCUCGCCACGUGGUGAGAGCCAAUAGAUGGACGCCACGUCAUGCGAAAGAGAGGUAUCCUACGUGCGCAAUUUGUAUUGCUACGUAAUGUGCAUGUUUAUUAUACAGAUAGUCUAACGUCAGUAUUGGGCUGGGCCUGUAAUCAAUUUAAAAGUCUCUGGUAGAGUAAGAGUCUUCUAGAAGCAAAAGUAACACAUUUAUCAGGAACAAAGAACCAAAUCAAACUAAACUAAAAAAAAUGAGGUUUGGUUCGGAUUUAGAUCAUAUAAUACACGAAUGAACGGAUCCUAUAACUUUUGAACUGAAAAACCAAAACCAAACUGGAGCAAACAAAGACCCGAAUGGAUACCCGAAUUUUUAUAAUAUAAUAUAUACACUUAUAAAUAUUAACUACAUUUAGUUUCAAAAUGAUAAAAUAAUUUGAAAUACUAUUUCUAAAAACUAAAUCUCCAAAUACAUUUUAUCCGAAAUAUUUUAAAUUAUUUGAACUAUCCAAAUUUUACCUAAAUUAUUGGAUAAAAAUCUAACAUUUAGUAAAAAAAAGACUGAAUUUACUUACUUUUUUUUGAAACACAUCUGAAUUUUCUUACUUUUAACAAAACUUAACAAAAAAACUAAAAUCGAACGGCUAACGAAUAUGAUCCAAAAAUGACCUCGGAUAUUAUUCGGUUUUUAAUUUUGUUAUCUAAACUAAACUGAAAAAUGAAAUAACCGAAUCAGAACCAAAGUGAAUCCUAAACAUCUAAAACUGAAAAGCAGAAAAAAUCGAAAGAACCGAACCGGAACCGAAUCCAAAAUUCUUUAGCGGAGCAAGAGUCUCUAUUGGGCUGGGCCUACUAAUCAAUUUGAAAGUCUCUAGCUGAGCAAGAGUCUUCCACAUACCAUUGACAAAAGCAAACUUUUUACACACGUAAGUCGUAAUAACCAUUACAGAAAUGUCACACACUAGUGGAAGAGUACAAGAUACUUUGUUAUUUUAAUAUUUGGUAUUAGAAAAAGUGGAAAACUAUAAAAUGUUGAAGAUGAAUAUCUAUAGUUUUACUGUUUAGGUACUAAGUGAUUGGUAACCAUCUUCCCGGUUCUUUCUCCGGUAUACCACGGCGACUAUUAGAACCACAACCGCCACCGUCACUGCAAGAAAGGCUAAAAAGCUCAUACUGCUCGAAUGUGCC